CUCCUACGGGAGGCAGCAGUGAGGAAUAUUGGUCAAUGGGCGGGAGCCUGAACCAGCCAAGCCGCGUGAAGGAAGAAGGCGCCAGGCGUCGUAAACUUCUUUUGUCGGGGAACAAAGGGCGCCACGUGUGGCGUUGUGAGUGUACCCGAAGAAAAAGCAUCGGCUAACUCCGUGCCAGCAGCCGCGGUAAUACGUAGGUGGCAAGCGUUAUCCGGAUUUACUGGGUGUAAAGGGCGUGUAGGCGGGAC
This 248-nucleotide ribosomal RNA is filed under the name uncultured bacterium. RNAcentral describes it as "partial 16S ribosomal RNA". It matches the Rfam family "Bacterial small subunit ribosomal RNA", at positions 336 to 581 of the family's 1533-position model. The record is from RNAcentral.